GGGGGGCAGGAGGGGCUCAGGG
This 22-nucleotide non-coding RNA is filed under the name Dasypus novemcinctus (nine-banded armadillo). Lineage: Eukaryota; Metazoa; Chordata; Mammalia; Cingulata; Dasypodidae. The record is from RNAcentral. RNAcentral also lists the same sequence under 8 other names.